CCUGGCGGCCAUAGCGCCGUGGAACCACCUGAUCCCAUGCCGAACUCAGAAGUGAAACGCGGUAGCGCCGAUGGUAGUGUGGCAUUCGUCAUGCGAGAGUAGGACACUGCCAGGC
Molecule: ribosomal RNA, 115 nt
Filed under: Aeromonas veronii
Lineage: Bacteria; Pseudomonadati; Pseudomonadota; Gammaproteobacteria; Aeromonadales; Aeromonadaceae
Also listed under: 1 other name
Source: RNAcentral